Molecule: long non-coding RNA, 1284 nt
Filed under: Anas platyrhynchos platyrhynchos (common mallard)
Lineage: Eukaryota; Metazoa; Chordata; Aves; Anseriformes; Anatidae
Description: lncRNA (ENSAPLG00000029488.1)
Source: RNAcentral
UCCGUGAGCUAGGGAAAAAUUCCCUUCUUUAUGAUGGGUCCAGCCCUUUAAAGCCUCUGAAAGGAAACCAAAUAUCUUUAAUUCCCAGGAGACAUCUCAGAGGAUCAGAGCUAAACUGUUACUCUCUGAACUAUCAGAUACUGAGACCUCUGCAUGACCCUUUGUGUUUCAGCAUCCAGAGGCUGUGGAUUCCCCAGAAGAACCUAUUUCCCUGAUAACUAGAGGCUGAACAAGAGUGCGUCGUUAUAGAGGUUUAAAUAACCCACAUAAGUUCAUGCUACUAAGCGCACCUUGGAAGUGGGCCUGCUGCAAUUUGCCUGCAGCAAGAACAAAGAUCUCCAAAGAGCUCUUGAACCUCUGCCAGCUGUGAAGGAGAGCCCACACCUUUCUGCGUGUAAGCACUGAUCUCUUCACCUGUGUGGUCUCUCCUGCUGCAGCUUCUCCCAGAACGGGCGCCGCUCCUCCCUUUAAAAGGCAGCUCUCAAGCAGCUGGGAUCUUUUCUGCAUCCUCACUCUGUGCUUGGAUUCUGCAUGAUGUUUCUUGCUGAGAGUGGACUCGUGGGGCCUUGUCUACAAACAAAUACAUCCAGUGUGGCUGGGAGCACAGCCAAAGUGCUGUGGGAAAGCAAAGGAGUUUGAACAGCGUGCUUGUCAAAGGUAUGGACAGAGCACUCGGGCAUUUUAUCCACAGACCAGUGACUCUGGGACUAAGCCCCUGCAUUUAGAGCUGCAAGCACUCGGUAUUACUGUCGUGAUGUAAGUCUUUGUUAAAAACACCUCUUUUAAUUGCACAGCUCAUACCUCCAAAAUCUUGAGAUCUAAUGGCUUAAGUUAGGCACUGAAUUUCAUCCUUUGGUUAUCUGUGAUGUACUCCAUAGUGCCAGGUCCUUCUGCUUGGGCAGGCCAGGAAUAGCAUCGCCUCUGUCUUUCACUCCCUGCCUCCUGCACAGAUUCCACUGCAUAUUGUAUUUAUUUUCUCAUGCCACACCAAUCUCCCUAAGCUCUAUGUUCUAAUGAUCUUCUUAGCAAGCACAUAUGCCGCAGCAUAUAUUUAGUUUUGAACCAGCUUAUGGAUCUCCUUAGGUGCAAUUCAGGGCAGGAAGCAAUUUGUUCUUGUUAAUGAAGCUGUGUACACGUGCACACUCUGCCGGUGUCAGCUACAGUUUGUUUGCCUGUUGCACCUGCUUGAGCUCUAUAUUUAAGUCAUCUUGAAGUGUAAUUCAAAAAAUAAGCAGAGAAUGGUGAAACACAUGUGCAGAGGCCUUUUUGGGGGGAGGAAAGCAG